GAUGAACGCUAGCGGCAGGCUUAAUACAUGCAAGUCGAGGGCAGCAGGUCUGUAGCAAUACAGAUGUUGGCGACCGGCAAACGGGUGCGGAACACGUACAGAACCUUCCUUCGAGCGGGGAAUAGCCCAGAGAAAUUUGGAUUAAUACCCCAUAGUAUAUUAGAGUGGCAUCACUUUAAUAUUAAAGAUUUAUCACUUGAAGAUGGCUGUGCGGCUGAUAGGUAGUUGGCGGGGUAACGGCCCACCAAGCCAGCGAUCAGUAACUGGUGUGAGAGCACGACCAGUCACACGGGCAC
Molecule: ribosomal RNA, 296 nt
Filed under: uncultured bacterium
Lineage: Bacteria
Description: partial 16S ribosomal RNA
Rfam family: Bacterial small subunit ribosomal RNA
Source: RNAcentral